Molecule: non-coding RNA, 91 nt
Filed under: bovine gut metagenome
Description: TPP riboswitch (THI element)
Rfam family: TPP riboswitch aptamer (THI element)
About the family: Vitamin B(1) in its active form thiamin pyrophosphate (TPP) is an essential coenzyme that is synthesised by coupling of pyrimidine and thiazole moieties in bacteria.
Source: RNAcentral
GGAACAAGGGGUGCCGCUUGGCGGCUGAGAGCGGGCGUUUGCUCGCAACCCUGUGACCUGAUCCGGAUAAUGCCGGCGGAGGGAUGUUUGC